CGACACUCCAAACACGCGCUCAUCACUGUCAUUUUCAUCUUCUAAUCCCUCGUUGUGGCACUCAUCACUGUCGUGUUGAUCGAAGCUUCCGCUAUGCCAUCUCUAGUCGUUUGUUGACCCCAGCUCUCGUCGUGCCAUCUCUAUAGCUCCCGUCGUGCCAUCUCGAGUCGUCUGUUGACCCAAGCUCAAGUCGCUAGCUGUACCCAG
RNAcentral lists this long non-coding RNA (207 nucleotides) under Glycine max (soybean). Its description in RNAcentral is "long non-coding RNA (GMAX_LNC000805)". Lineage: Eukaryota; Viridiplantae; Streptophyta; Magnoliopsida; Fabales; Fabaceae. The record is from RNAcentral.